GUAGGGAAUCUUCCACAAUGGACGCAAGUCUGAUGGAGCAACGCCGCGUGAGUGAAGAAGGGUUUCGGCUCGUAAAGCUCUGUUGUUAAAGAAGAACGUGGGUAAGAGUAACUGUUUACCCAGUGACGGUAUUUAACCAGAAAGCCACGGCUAACUACGUGCCUG
RNAcentral lists this ribosomal RNA (165 nucleotides) under uncultured bacterium. Its description in RNAcentral is "partial 16S rRNA". It matches the Rfam family "Bacterial small subunit ribosomal RNA", at positions 354 to 511 of the family's 1533-position model. The record is from RNAcentral.